Molecule: unclassified non-coding RNA, 216 nt
Filed under: Hevea brasiliensis (rubber tree)
Lineage: Eukaryota; Viridiplantae; Streptophyta; Magnoliopsida; Malpighiales; Euphorbiaceae
Source: RNAcentral
GAAAAUUUGGGGUUUUGGGUGUUUGAGUUGUUGUGUAUCUGAUUCUUGAGCUGCUUGAAGUUUGUUGAUUUGAGUUGAGUAGUGGAGUUAGCUUUGUUUGAUGAUGCCACUACCAAGAAGGAAAAAGUUUGUUGGUUGAGAAAAGGAGUGAUCUUUGGUAUUCCCUUUAGUUUUUCUUGGAAAUUUGGGUUAUUUGUAGUGUUGAUUGAUAUUUGU